RNAcentral lists this ribosomal RNA (390 nucleotides) under Albinaria caerulea. Its description in RNAcentral is "partial 16S ribosomal RNA". Lineage: Eukaryota; Metazoa; Mollusca; Gastropoda; Stylommatophora; Clausiliidae. The record is from RNAcentral.
UUAUCUGCCCAGUGAAAAAUUUUAACGGCCGCAGUACCUUGACUGUGCAAAGGUAGCAUAAUAAUUUGACUUUUAAAUGGAGCCUAGAAUGAAAGAAAGAACGUAAGCAACUUGUCUCAUUAAUAUUAUUUUAAAUUUGAUGAUUGAGUGAAAAUACUCAUAAUUUUAAUAACAGACGAGAAGACCCUUAGAAUUUUUAAAAGUAAUAAGUAAAUAUCUUAUAAGAUUUUUUGUUGGGGCAACAAUAUUUCAAAUAAUAAAUAUAUAAAUGAAAUAAAUAAGUCGAUUAAAUAAUUAUAGAAAAAUUACCUAAGGGAUAACAGCAUAAUUUUAUUAAUAAGCUUGUGACCUCGAUGUUGGACUAGGUACUAUUAAGGCUAAUCGUUUUAA